GAGUAUUAUCGCUGCUUUAGAAUUUGUGUAGUAGGUUUUCUGCCUUCGGUUGGAAGACCCAU
Molecule: small nuclear RNA, 62 nt
Filed under: Dasypus novemcinctus (nine-banded armadillo)
Lineage: Eukaryota; Metazoa; Chordata; Mammalia; Cingulata; Dasypodidae
Description: U7 small nuclear RNA (ENSDNOG00000033986.1)
Rfam family: U7 small nuclear RNA
About the family: Animal histone pre-mRNAs are spliced by a different mechanism than nuclear pre-mRNAs and self-splicing introns.
Source: RNAcentral